This is a long non-coding RNA of Cyanistes caeruleus (blue tit), 798 nucleotides long. RefSeq lists it as uncharacterized. NCBI's taxonomy places the organism in Eukaryota, Metazoa, Chordata, Aves, Passeriformes, Paridae. The record is from RefSeq and is a predicted model, not a curated record.
AGCCGGGCUCUGCUGGGCCCCGGGAGCGGCUCUGCCGCGGCCCGCAAGGCCACAGAGGCUGCCGGGCACAGGAGGGGCCAGCACGGCCUGAAAUCCAUCACAGUGACCGCUUCGGCCACUGCCUGGGACCGUCUGCAGGACCAGACAAGAUAUGAAGCCUUUCACUACACAGAUGAGACCUUGAUCCUCUCUCCAGGGACAGAAAAGGACAGAAUGAUGAGACGUAGAAAGACAGCAUGAAGACACCAAGGUCAGUAAAGGAGUCAAGUCCCAAAUGUAAGGAGAAUGAGAAGAUGCCCUAAUAAUGGGGCUGAAAGUUGUUUUGGCAAGGCCAUGGAGAUGGACUAUGAUGUACUAAAAUAUCCCCUUUAAUUCAUGAGAAAGUAUGGGGGGAUGGAGUGUUCAAACUGUAGACUUCAGCAGAGGCAUCCAAAAUUAAGCAAAGCAGAUGUUGAAGGAGCUGUGAUCCCAUGAGAAGCUUGAACAGAGAGAGAUGAGAGUGAUGAAGACCCUUUGCUCCCAGGGAGAGAAGAAGAAAACCUCUGUUCCAAGAGAUGAAGAAGAUCAUAGAGAUAGAUGAGGAGAACCUUUGCCUUUGAACAGCACGUAGAAAACCAAUCAACAUACAGGUUUGGUGGUGAUGGGACAUCAGAGGAACACUCAGAUGCAUAGAAACAACUGCCAGCAAGAGCAGAAAUGUAAAAAAUAAAUGUGAUGAUGACAGUCUGCCUAGUUCACUAAUUCUGGAGCACAAUUCCUGAGGAGAUCUGGCAUUCCUGGCUUAAGCUUUGUAUUUGU